AGUCUACAUAAAAUUUCACAAGUCACAUUAGACAUAUAUAUACAUAGUCAGCUUAAAAGAUCCUGGCAUCUAAGCAUUUUCAUUAAACACACUUAAACAUAGAUAAACUUCAAAGGUUAAUCUUCAGAUCUGGUGGUCUUGCCAAAUAGCUUAUGAUAUAGCAUAACUUUUCCCAGGCCAUCUGACCCAGAGCAGGUGGCACACAGGUGGUGUUUUUGAAAGGUGUGUACAGAUAGAUAGUGCUUGUGGAACAAGAAGGGAACACAUUGCUUUACUGAUUUUAGUGUUGCAAUUCUCUGCACCUAAUUAAUAUCUCAUGACAAGAAUCUUCAUCUUCAAGAAGGUAAAUUUGAAUGAGAUUUGCUUUUUCUUAGCCCUACACACAUCAUACAAAUGUAUGGGCUUCCUAUUCCAUAUUGUGUAUCCAUUUUGAAUAUGUACUAUAGGACUUGAUUGAACAGGAAGGAAUUUCUAGUUGAAGACAGAACGUAAUUUUGGGAAUUCCACACAAGUAAUGAUUCACUUCAUUAUCAUAAACCAGAAAUUUUUGAAAACUCAGCUACAGAGUAAGUCUGCUUACUAAUAAAACACAUAUUUCAAAAUACUAAAAAAGGUUGAAGAAGAUAAUUAAAGAAUAAAUUACUACAGCCAAAGGUGCAUUCUAGGAGGAAAAUAGUAGCUAGUUCUGUGUACUGGGAUUAACAUAAAUUUUAAUUCAAAAAGGAAAGCAAAGCACUUGGGAAGGAAAAAUCAAUGUAAGGACACAGCACACAGAAGGACAUAGCUGGAAACCCCAAGAAACACAAAGAUCUCACAACUAUUCCGCAUCAAAAGUUAGAAAGUCUAUGUUCAGCUCUGUUAGUGAAGGACUACAUUCAGCUCUUUAAACCAAUCACCAUAACAACUCAGUGGGGAAUACAGGUAAUUUAGAAACAAAGUAACACAGUAAGAAACCGCUUCAUGAUGCAAGACUGGAGCACUUGGUGAUAUUUGCUGCAUAAAAGACCAGCAGGGGAAUAGCAAUCUGCUAAUAGAUCACUACCAUCACAGGAUGGUGAGUCCACCACUACCUUGGGAAGCCAGUUCCUGACCACCCUUCCAAUGAAGAAGUUUUUCCCAAUAUCCAAUCUAAACCUCAUCUGGUGCAGCUUGAUGCCAUUUCCUCUGGUCCUGUCACUUGCUACCUGGGAGAAGGCUACAGAAGUGAGAGUACUGAUAUUUGCUGUUUGAUAAUACAAUGAAUUUGAGGAUUACUACUUCUCCAAAGUGGCCAUGAGAUCUGAUUCAGAACAUAUGGAUGGAAGAGAUCUCCUGAAAUAAUAUGGAAAUAACUGGUGAUGAAGCUGAAUGGAACCACAUUGAGAAGAUUUCCACCCAAACACUGCAUGACAGACUGCAUACUGUUGGAAUUACAGUAGAAAAACAAGUUCUGGUUGCUACAGUCUAAGAAAAUAGUAGGUUCAUACACCAGCACUAUACAGAAGAGCUGCUGUACUCUGAGGAAAGGGAUGUGGGCAAUGUUACAUAACACAGAUCGCACUUUAACUGCAAGUACUAUUGCUGGACCACUUUCCAGGCUGCUAUUCUCCAGUUAUGUGCUAGGAGCACUUCUGUCUGUCCUUGUACUCUCCCUGAACUCCUAAAGGCAUCAGGUCUUGCUGAAUUGCUCUGCUCGCACACUACAAAUGCCCCCUUCUGGCAAAGCACCACUCUGCUUCUCUACAAGAGAAACCUUGUAUUUGGUCUGUAGCUUUUCUUUGAAAAUUUUAGUUAGUAAAAACCCAAUUAUGACACGGUGCUUCGGGGAUAAGAGGUUGGCAAAAUCAUAGAUGGAGACAGGAAGGAAAACACACAAGGCUUCUAGAUCUUACCUGAUCAAAAUCUGUAAAGCCAAAAUAUUCAUUGUUGGUACGGAAAAGAAAAAAACCUCCUUUCCAUGAAUUUAACCUAAGACAUUGCAAAAAGUUUUCCCUACAAUCAUUAAGGAACACAGCAUUGUGUAUCACAAUCAUGUGUACUCUAAUACAUGGCAAAGUAGCUAGAAAAUUGGAUUACUAUCCAGAAAGUAAUUAAUUUAAAUUAAUGCUUUAGGAGGCACAGUGUAUUCUCCAAAGAAACCUCUAAGCAGAAAUCUUGAAUGUGCACAAUAAGUAAAUUGUAAAUGCAAGAGACACUAAAAAUAACUGAUGCUUUUCAGUGUAUGCAAAACUGUACUUAAAAUUUUUAUUAAAAAACCUGUAACCACUUCACUAUGUUAUCCCACAAAGUGCAGCACAACAACCUCUGUGAAAGAGAAUUCUAAAGAAAGUAGUUCUUCAUAUCUUCUUUAACGUCUACUCAAUCUUUUCAUCAGUAACUGCUAUAUUUCAUUCAGACUAUUAUGACAAACAA
Molecule: long non-coding RNA, 2391 nt
Organism: Parus major (Great Tit)
Lineage: Eukaryota; Metazoa; Chordata; Aves; Passeriformes; Paridae
Exons: 4
Source: RefSeq, a predicted model, not a curated record